UGGGGAAUUUUGCGCAAUGGGCGAAAGCCUGACGCAGCAACGCCGCGUGAGUGAUGAAGGCCUUCGGGUCGUAAAGCUCUGUCAGAAGGGAAGAAAUGGAAGGGUGUUAAUACCAUCUUUUCCUGACGGUACCUUCAAAGGAAGCACCGGCUAACUCCGUGCCAGCAGCCGCGGUAAUACGGAGGGUGCAAGCGUUGUUCGGAAUUAUUGGGCGUAAAGCGCGUGUAGGCGGUCUUUUAAGUCUGAUGUGAAAGCCCCGGGCUCAACCUGGGAAGUUCAUUGGAAACUGGGAGACUUGAAUACGGGAGAGGGCAGUGGAAUUCCUAGUGUAGGAGUGAAAUCCGUAGAUAUUAGGAGGAACACCGGUGGCGAAGGCGGCUGCCUGGACCGAUAUUGACGCUGAGACGCGAAAGCGUUGGGGAGCAAACAGGAUU
Molecule: ribosomal RNA, 434 nt
Filed under: uncultured bacterium
Lineage: Bacteria
Description: bacterial SSU rRNA
Rfam family: Bacterial small subunit ribosomal RNA
Source: RNAcentral